Long non-coding RNA from Notothenia coriiceps (black rockcod), 482 nucleotides. RefSeq lists it as uncharacterized. Lineage: Eukaryota; Metazoa; Chordata; Actinopteri; Perciformes; Nototheniidae. The transcript has 2 exons. The record is from RefSeq and is a predicted model, not a curated record.
UUCUCUUUUCGUCCACAGCCUGCUGCCAAAUGUUUCGGGAGAUACCCAGUUGAUAGACAUUUGUCUCUCCAAGAGAGAAAAGAAGCACUGUAUAAUUUUGCAAGAAGACGCUACAUCGAGAAACACGGAUUGGAUCAAGAAGACAGUCACUGAACUCGCUUUGGGUCAAGCCAUCAUUGAUAAUAUGUCAGAGAGAAGCAUAUUCAACCUGCAUAGCUGUCUAAAUUGAAUGGUGAUUUUAUAUUCCGUCAACAGGUUCUGUUGCAAAACAGAUCUUGUUAAUUGCAAAUAAAGGUGACAAGUGUUCAGAACAUGUUAUGUUGAUGGAAUGGUGAUUAUGCAUGUGUUUAAUUCUUCAUCCUGGCUGGUACAUAAUUUUGAUAACAAUUUGUAUUACGAUCCACUGACUGUGAAUCAUCUAUUUAUUUUUAUAAUGUCCAGAGUCGUUGAUGAAAAAUAAAGUUCAGCUUGACCUUAAGAAA